RNAcentral lists this ribosomal RNA (433 nucleotides) under uncultured bacterium. RNAcentral's name for it is "partial 16S ribosomal RNA". It matches the Rfam family "Bacterial small subunit ribosomal RNA", at positions 29 to 507 of the family's 1533-position model. The record is from RNAcentral.
AACGAACGCUGGCGGCAUGCCUAACACAUGCAAGUCGAACGAGACCUUCGGGUCUAGUGGCGCACGGGUGCGUAACGCGUGGGAACCUGCCCUUAGGUUCGGAAUAACUCCCCGAAAGGGGUGCUAAUACCGGAUAAUGUCUUCGGACCAAAGAUUUAUCGCCUUUGGAUGGGCCCGCGUUGGAUUAGCUAGUUGGUAGGGUAAAAGCCUACCAAGGCGACGAUCCAUAGCUGGUCUGAGGGGAUGAUCAGCCACACUGGGACUGAGACACGGCCCAGACUCCUACGGGAGGCAGCAGUGGGGAAUAUUGGACAAUGGGCGAAAGCCUGAUCCAGCAAUGCCGCGUGAGUGAUGAAGGCCUUAGGGUUGUAAAGCUCUUUUACCCGGGAUGAUAAUGACAGUAUCGGGAGAAUAAGCUCCGGCUAACUCCGUG